GGAGAAAGACCAGUCCUGAGGGAGGGUAACCAGAAGCCAAUGUUGCUAUGGCAAAGGCAGACCACCCUGGAGGGAGAAGAGGAGACAGACUUGCCACAUCACUCCUCAGCUGAAACACAUUUCUGGAGGGCCAUGAAGUGAUGACAGACCUGUGACCUCUGGCCCUGCAGCCCACACGGAGUGGCGAGGAGCACAGACAUGGGAAUGCAGAGUCCUGGAUCCUGUGCCCCUUUCUGGCUCCAACCAGCUAGCUCAUCUUGGACAAGUCACAUUGUCUCUCUAGGCCUCAGUUUCUGCUUCUAUAAGGAAAAUAGGUUGAGUCACAAGAUCGCUAAGCCUCCUUCCCCUGACAUCUGACAAUUCUGCCCGCCCAAGGAAGAGACAAGCUGCUCAGCCAUAUUUCACCUUCUUUGACCAGACAUCGUAUGUCACAGCUGUCUCUGCAGCCCAGAACCACCAAGCAAACAGCAGCCUCACGAAAGGUAGCGAGGUCUAGCAAAGCCCAAAGUCCCAAGGUGUAACUAAUCAUGGAUCCAACUGAUCACGAGGCAAUCAAUUCCUCCUCACACGACAUGGUUUCUUCUUCCUUUGCACAGCGAUAACGACAUGAUCAAAGGUGAAGCCUCAUACGGAAAUGCUUUGAAAAUAUUAAGAUGCACCCAUCAACAAGGGGGAAAAAAAGCUGACCUAGGUCAGCUUUUUGUUUUGGAAAACAGCAUUUUGACAGAGACCUGUAAGGCGAAAGACAAAAAGAACUAUACGAAAACACUGUAUUCUCAUUAGAAAUUGUUUUCGCAGGGAUAUGGAUUAGUGAUUCUGAAACUACGUGUAUAGUAAGGGGAACAAAUAAGUGUAGGAGUUGUAGACAAUGGGAGUCCAUUUGGCAUUGUCAGAGUAAGAAGGGACAGUGAGGAAAGGCAGGAGGCCAGGACAAACCCAGUGGUGCUGGAUUCAAGUUGGAGGUAUCAGGGUGAACUUGUUUUUAUUUACAUAUAUAUAGAGAGACAGGUGUAGAAAUGUCGAUAUGUGCUUAUACAUUGGCUACUCUACAUUCAUAUGCUUCCUAAAGCAAUGACCCAGUAGCAAAGAACAUACCCAGCCCUCAGAACUUGGUUUCCAAAUACCAUCUUCCCAAUAAAGGAAUCAGGGCUCCCUGGAGAGAAAGAACUGAUUUUAACGCAGGGAAAAGAGCCUGAAGCGUUGUAUAGGGUCAGAAGGUAAGGUAAUGGGAAACCAAAUGGAAGCAUGUCAAAAAGACACAGGGACCAACCCGAAAGAGAUCCUAAUGACCAGAGCUAGAACAAUUUGAGCAACAAUUUGAAAAGGUACUGGAUUGUAACUCAAAUGAUAAAAUCGAUGUCCCUGAAUCCAUCCUGAUAUAAACAAAUAAUUUAAUAAAUAAGUAAAUUACCGGGAAGAGACAAAUCUUUAUAGAGGAAUUCCAAAUUAUAGAUGUAGAUUCUCCCCCCUCCAGGGAGUGGGGUUUCAGUUCCCUCCCUCUGAGUAUAAGCUGGACUUAGUGAUUCACUUCCAAUCCGUAGCAUCUAGAAAGGGGAAAACAGUAACUUUACAGUGGAGAAAACUGGCAGAGCCAUCCACCCAUGUGAUCAAGGUUAACCUCACCAUUGAUUAGUCAUGUUGAUAUCACAUACUUCCUGAUAUAGGGUGGAAAGCAAGGGCACUUUGCAUCUGUGGUAUACCUCCAGAAAAUCCAUAACUCGGGUCUAAUCAUGAGAAAACUUCAGAGAAGCCUAAAUCGGGGGACAUUCAAUAAAAUACCUAAAAAUGUCAAGGUCGUGGAAAAUAAGGAACAACAGAGAAAGCUUCACGGAUCACGGGAGACAUGGUGCGGUAUGGUAUCCUGAAACAGAAAAGGGACAUUAGUGGAAAAACAGGGGGGAAUCCAAAUAAAGUCUGUAGUUUAGUUCA
Molecule: long non-coding RNA, 1929 nt
Organism: Lynx canadensis (Canada lynx)
Lineage: Eukaryota; Metazoa; Chordata; Mammalia; Carnivora; Felidae
Exons: 2
Source: RefSeq, a predicted model, not a curated record